Long non-coding RNA from Astatotilapia calliptera (eastern happy), 1048 nucleotides. Lineage: Eukaryota; Metazoa; Chordata; Actinopteri; Cichliformes; Cichlidae. The record is from Ensembl.
CGACUGGAAAAAUUUGCAAGCCCUGUGUUACAGGCAUGGCCCUUUAAGGAUGAAGCCUGAUGGGAAAUGUAUUCGGGAUGUGUGUAGCGGGACUGCCUGGUGUGUGUGUGAAGAGAGAGAGCGGAGAUGGGGAAAAAGUAACGGUUAGCUACAGAAGAGACGACAAGAAAAUAAAUAAAAGGAAUAUAAUAACUCCCUCGACAGCCAGAGUUGUGUCGGCGAUGCUCGCUAGACAUUUUGUCCCAAUCUUCUUUAGAUCACCUCACAUUUGACUCCAGAACAGUCUGGCUCACAGAGGAAUUGAUGGCUGACUCAGUGCCUGCAAGAUGCUCAGGUUCCUGUGGCUGCAAAACAAGCUCAAAUCAUCACCCCUCCACUAAAUACGCUUGACAGCUGGGCCUUGAAAAAGUCCUGUGUCAGUAUUUUUCUCCACUGUUCCCCAAGGUCAGGAGUGGGUGCCUUUCUUGGAUGUGGUAGGCAUUUCUUAGGCUCCUUCUCCAGAAUUGAACCCUAAAUCUGUGUUACCCACAAUCACCAUGGUACGCACAAGAUGUUCCAUCGAAAGCUAAUGGGGUGGACAUUCGAAUAAGAUGUCCCUGGAGGGAUUCCUUAGAUAGGUUUUGGUCAUAGAUACCUGCAGGUCAGUCCUUAUAUGCAUGUUAGCUCCAGAAUUGUUAUCCAAAUAACCAAGGAGUGAUCAAAGGAACCAUAACUGAUUUAAUGAGCCAUUCGCAGUUUCACUGAGGCAGUUGCAUGUACUUACACCAGCAUGGAUUAAUCUGAGAUAAGCAUAUACUACUGACAGGAUCAAUUAGGAAACCUCUUGGCUAUCUUGGUCUGGCUGGGGAAAAAACAGCUCAGGCUGUGGUCUCUCCAGACUUCCUCCCCAAAACAUGCAUGUGGGUUAAAUAGCAAUUGUAAAAUGGGUUCGGCGGGUUCAGGUUCCCUGAAUUGUGGAAGAAUAGUGAUGGGCUGAUGGAUAGAUUCUCCAUCCUGGAUGGAUUUAAUUAGACUGUGAAGCCUUGUAGCAGUGUUUUUUUUAAGUAAA